This 6452-nucleotide unclassified non-coding RNA is filed under the name Leishmania donovani. RNAcentral's name for it is "gene:LdHU3.17.0520(CDS-product:WD_domain_G-beta_r epeat_putative)". Lineage: Eukaryota; Euglenozoa; Kinetoplastea; Trypanosomatida; Trypanosomatidae. The record is from RNAcentral.
AGGCAUUCCCUUGCAUUCAGCGCAUCGCCACCGAGAGGACGCACACCUCCGCGCACAGGCAGAGCAUAUCCACACGCUUGCUCUUAUUCGGCAUAUAUAUGUAUAUAUUGUGGGCCCGGCUGUUUUGUGUCCGCUGCCAUGUGCGACGCGUACGCCGCUUCACGCACGCACACACACACACAUAUACAUACGCAGACGCAGACACAGGCACAGACACAGGCGCGGGCAGGCUCACACAGGCGGACAGGGAGGGAGAGAGGGACUGCAGGCAAGCAAACAAAGCAAACACACCGUGGCCUCGAAGGCAGGUGAGGAACGUUGCCUGGCCUGGCAUUGCAUGUUUUUUGCUGGCUGUCUUUCCUCUCGCCCCACCCCACUACCACUGCAGGCUCUCCCAUCCUUUUCCAUCUCACUGCUUCCACCCUCUCCCUGCCUUCAUCAAUUUCGGCGCAUCUGUGACCCCUUCCUUCCCCCCUCCCCUCCAUGCACGCGCGCAGGCGUGUGCACUCAAGGUGACAUCUCGGCUUCACUCCGUCCUCCCCUCCCUUCCUCGUUCUUACCGCCCUUCUUCCCUUGUUCGUGACCCUUCAUAACCUUACUCCCCUCAGCGCCCCACCCUUAUCACUCUGACAGGUAGUUGCGGCAGAUGGGGUGCCUGCUUAGCAGCUCCGUCGUGGAUCGGCCCACAUCGCUGACGUCUAUCGUCGGCUCCCGAAAGGCGAAAGGUUACAACGGCCUCCUCGAAGAGUCAGGAAUCACGCCUGAGGGCGGCACCGACAGCAGCAAGGAGUCGAAUCGGCCACCGAAGAGGACGAGAACAACAGCCCAUGAUGACAGACCAGAGAAUGCUGUCGACACGGACAAGCCCGAUAGGCCGAGCCCCAAUGAAGGGGGUUGCAUGCCAGAGUUCAAGAGAGGAAAAACAUGGCGGCUGCACCGCAGUUCUCCCGAGUCUGUGAAAGCGGCUCUGAUCUCGAAUGCGGCUGACGCCGCCAACCCAUUCGCCCCGAUGUCGUCGGUGUACUCAAGCAAUGCAGCGUCUAGUCGGGAAGAUGCGCCACUGAGUCUGCUUCCGCAGCUCGCCACAAGCUCGGCUGCUGACGCUUCGCCGUCUGCAGCGAUGAGGUCCCCGAGGGGAGCCGGAUACCCUUCAAGGCGCUUGAGGUCGUCUUCCAUUGUGUCAGUGUCGGCGGCUCCUCACGACAUGCAGCUCGCGCGGCAGCCGCUAGAUCCGCAGCAUCUGAAGAUGCCCUCGACGGGUUUCGCCGAUAUGCAUGCCACACGCGAGUCUUUGCUCUCCGACAUUUCCGCCACCCUCAGCACCGAGAGCACACCGACCCACAGCCUGCAGGACUGCCAUUCGCCAAACUGUGGCGGCACCAUGAGCGCUUUCCUCCGGAAAGCUGAGGCCCUGGAGGCGAAGUAUCAGCAGGUCUCACUGAGCAUCGAAGAGGAUCUCUUCGUUUACGACGACAUCGUCAUCUCAAAGGUGGAGGCGCGCGCCAAGCAGUGGCGCCUGGCUGGUCGCAAACCUCAGCCUGCCAACAUAGAGCCGAGCAGCGACAGUGGGACGAGCAGGACUUUAAAGAAGUUCUUCUCCUUCAACGACUUCGACGUGUGCGUGGACGAGGUAGACUUCAUGCCCUUGAGCCCGGCCACUGUCGAGGCCGCGGCGACUUUGGCGCGGGAUACGGUUUUGGAGACACCCAAGCAAGGCUUGAAGCACAUAACGGUGACGAACACGACAGCCAAGGCGCCGAACACGGUGGCUCACUUCCUGGCGCAGUCCCGCUCAAGGGAGCCGAGGGUAAACCGGCCAUUGCGCAGCUUUCAGGUCAAUGCACUCCUAGGGCACGCAAGUCGCGUCAAGUGCAUCGCCCUCUCGCCGGCCGAGACGGACUUUGCCAGCUGCAGCAACGAGGACGCCUCCAUCACAUUGAACAACUUCGGCGUCGGCAGCGAGGUGGGCAUCUUCACGGGCCAUCAUGACACCAUCAUCAGCGCGACCUUCUCACCGGAUGGCAAGUACCUCGCCACGGCCAGCAAGGAUGAGACGAUGAUCUUGUGGGAUGUGACGACGACGAAGAUCCUCCUAACCUUCGCGCAUCCCAAGGUGGUGAUCUGCUGCUGCUUUGGCCCGGAUAGCAAGCACCUCGUGAGCGGCUGCCAAGAUCGCGUGUGCCGUCUCUGGGACACGAAGCGGGGACGAGAGUGGAUGAACUACACGGAGCACGAGGGCAUCAUUAUUGCCAUCGCGUUUAGCCCAGACGGCAACUAUGUGUGUAGCGCCUCAGCGGACAGGUCGCUGCGGGUUUGGUCGGCCACGACGGCCAAGACGCGGUUCCAUCUGCUUGGGCACGUCGGCAUAAUCCUGUCGUGUAGCUACACCUCCGAUGGGCGGCACAUUAUUAGCAAUGAUGAGUCGCUCUUGCGGGUGUGGUCUGCCGAGGACGGCAGCUGCAAGCUAUCUCUCUCGCCGGUCGAAGUCGCUGGCACGUUGCAGCCGAGCCACCGCGCGCCGAAGCUAGGGUGGACGUUGUCCAGCGCCGCCCCUGGCUCCUUUACGCGAUUUGUGCUGGUCGCCUGUAACAACCGCUUCGUGUACGUCAUCGACAUCGAUACCGGACGGGAGGUUGCGAGCACUUUCUGCAAAGCCCCCGUGUAUUGUCUUACCGCCGGCAGCCACGAGAAGAUGGCCUUCGGCGACAGCUUCGGUAACAUCUACAUACUUCACUUGAUGUAAACUUGAACACCAAAUCGAAAUUUAAGGCAGAGAGGGCAGAAGACUCGGCAGUGCGCUGCGCGGUCGUUUUGGGUGCUUUUCUCGCGGAGGUUGUGCAUGCGUGCGUGUGCAAUCAUGAGGGUGCGGAGGGGUGGUAGUGUGGUGUGGUAUGUGGUGAGCGGGCACGCGUUUUUCUUUUUGCAAAAAAAAAACAUAUUGCCUCUUGCGCACGUAAUCGAUUGGUUUAUUGUGAUGUAUACUACUCCUCCUACUGCGUUGAGACGCUACUGCAGUCUCGCCGUCGUCUGACUUGCUCUUGCGCGCCAUUAUGGGUGUAGGCUUCUUGUGUUUGCUGGGCCUUGCUGCUCAUCUUUCUCGGUAUCAUCGGUGCUCUGCUAUUUCGUCUUCCUCCUCGGAGAAGGCGCAAGAGGAUAUAUAUAUUUGUGUGGGAAUGCGUGAUUUCUUAGCUGCACCCGCAACGGACAUCUUUCGCAGGUGCAUUCAUGCGAUUGUGUGCGGAAGCCACCGAAGGAUGUCUCUCUCUCCCUCCCUCUCUCCGCUACGAUUCUAGCGUUGCCGUUGUUGUUUGGCUUCAUGUAUGUAUGUGAACGAGGGGGAGCGGCAGGUAUGCGUGUGCGUGCAUGUGUGUCUGUGUGCGACGCUGUGUCUAUCGGUUAUGUGUGCACCCUCUCCCUUACUCUGCGUCUGUGGGUGUCCAGCCCUAUUCUAUGGAGAGGCACCACGGAUCACCGCAAAGAACGGACGUGUCACAGGUCCUGCCGGCUGCCAUUCGGGUUUUCUUUUUCUCUUUGUAUUUGACGUUGUGUCGUGCCUCACUCCACUCCCUGCUGCCGCUGAUAUUCAAAUUUUUUUUUUGCUUUCGCUCCUCCUUGUGUCUGCCCAUGACGUUGUCGUGCGCCCUUUCGUUCCGUAGAUGUCUUCGCUGUGCGUCACCGAUGCCGUAAGCGCACACCUUCGUCUUCACUUUCUAUCGAUUCCCCUCUCUCACCGACGCCUGCCUGCGUGUCGCGCGCGCUCUCCCGUUGUGUGUUUAUGUGGAGGCGCCGCGUGAUCGAAAAGGCACCUCGGCGUUCUCCCUAGCUCCACCACUGCUACUCUGAACGCCACCAACUUCAUUGCCGCAGACACGCAAGCAUCAAUGGAUGCGAGAGCGGUGGAGUGGCAUGGCAGAAGUGGAGAGAGGCGCGCGGUGCGCCGGUGGCGCGCUGGCGGCAAGGGUGGGAAUCGGGCAGACAGGGUGCGAGAGAAUCACGUCACAUGGCAGUCUAUGUACGUGCAUUCCCAUCAUGACCAAUCGCUCUCUAGAACGUAUAACGCACAGCACAUCCCGCACAGGGACGCAUUUCGCUUUUUACUUGAACAGUACGGCCGCGCUCGCUUCUUUUCUAUAUAUCUGUGGCUCUUGUGCGCGUGUCUCUCUUCGCCCCUUCUCGGCCUUUCGACGUCUUCUCCCUUCGUUUCUUUGCCGUCGCCUCUUCGGCGCCGUGUUCUCUUCCCCUCUUGUUUUUGGAACUCUCUUGCACGCCGCGAGGGGAGUGACAGCGUGGAAGGAAGGGGGUCGGGGGUGGCGUUGGCGGUGGUGGUGGUGGGGAGGGCGGCACGAUAGGGCAUGGAUGCGCGGAGGAUGGGAUUGGGCGUGGCCGUGCCCGCCGCUACGGCAUGCAGAGAACGAUAGGGGGCAUUCAUGCAAACACACACACACACUUAUAUAUGUAUGUAGAGAGAUUUAGCUCGUUGGUCGCACUCCGCUUCGUUCUCUCUCGCUCCGCGUCAUGCUCCCUUGCUGUGUCUCCGUCGCGUCUUGCCUCCCGCCUCGCGCCGGUUCACCGCUAGCGGCGCCAUACCCGCUCGGCCGCCCCUGCGUCUCUCCUCCUCCCUGCUUUUACUUCUUCGUUGCGCCUGCUCCCUGCUCCUCCUGCCGCACGGGCCUACGGGCACACCCAUGUGCUUCUGUGCCAGAAAGAGCGAGGGAGUGAGGGAAGUGGGGGUGAUGGGAUUGCGUUCAGCUUUCUUUGUUGUUGCUUUAUCCGGUGCGUGCGUGUGUGUGUGUGUGUGUGUGUUCGCUCUCGUGCAUGUUUAUUCGCUUUACGGCCGCACUUCGUUGCGCAUUCGGAAUAUUGGAUCCACUUCGCGUCUCUCGUGCUGCUUCUGCUGCUUGUGCUCCCGGAUCACAGGAGGAGACGGUGAGGUGAGCGGGGGGAGGGAGGGGGCCACAGCGCCCCAGCGCGCGGCCUCACAGGGCCCAGUGCACCCCCCACUCUCCCUCUCUCCUUGUGGGAGAAAGCCAGGCGGUCCCGCCCCCGCCCUAUCCCCAGCCAAAUGCCGAGCCGCCCCUCUGGUGGCCACAGGGCCAAGCACCGGCGACGCGCGGGGGCCAGAGCGAUGCACGGCGACUGAUGUCGGCGGUCAGGUCGUGGAUGGCGCGGCGCCGGAGCGGCCAGCGACCGCGAGCACGCUUGUGCCGCCGACAUGACAAGCCGAGUGCCGGCGUGGCUCGAAGGCAUCUGUCACCCGGCCCUCGCUGCCCACUGGUGGAGGGAGCCUGCGCCACCGCGAGGGGGGUGCACCGGGGGCGGUGGCCGGCAUGACGGGAGCGGCUGUGAGGCUGCCUGCGGAGUGGGGUGUGGGUGGAGUCCGCUGCCGAGGCCGUGCUCUCAGAUGGCUGAGCCGGCGCACUGCUGCACCGGCGUGCGCCUAGGGCUGCGCCGCGCCACGCGACGGGUGGCCUGUGGCAGCGCCGGGGAGGCUCGAGGGCGGAGGUGGACCUCGAGGUGUUUGGCAGAGAAGUGGAGUCGUCGAAGGCGAAAUGCGCCUGUGCUGUGGUGGUUCCCUUCCCGACCGUUUGUGCGACUCUUGCCUCUGUCGCCCCUUUUGGUGGUCCGGCUUUUACAGCAGGGGCUCGCGUCUGUUCUCUGUUUUCUCCUCGUCGUUUCUGCCUGUCACGCAUUGGUGGAGCCUUGUGUGUGUGUGUGUGCUCGUGAGUAGUACGACGCACGCAGCGUGCAUGCAUGUAUUUCUGUCAGUGCGUGCACACAUGUAUAACUGUUGUAUUCUGUUACUUCCUCAGGCGUCAGAUCUUUGAUUUUCGUUUGCCUCUUGGGCGUUCCCCUCUGUGUGCAGUGUCUGGCGGGGCGCGCGGUGAGCGUUGCGCGAACGCGUGCGUGCGCGGCUGUGUGACUCUCGGAAACGGCAAGAGAUGGAUUUGACAGCUUGAUGGCCAUGGGGCUGAAGGUAACACCGCGCGUGCCGUAUUGUUUGUGCGCGUGCAUACGUGGACAAUGUGUGUGUGCGUGCGUGUUCGUGAAGGACAGCAACCAAAAGAAAGGAAGGAAGAGCGGGCGCGGAAGUGGGAGGGGGAAAGAGAGAAUGGAGGAGGAAGAUACGGUUCGUGGAGAGCGGGCACGCACACGCACAUGAGUACGUACGCCAGGCCCUUGCGCGCCGUGCCACACUUUUGCUUGCUUUUAUGCCUUACAGGUAUGCGCGGUUGCCGCUCUCCCUCUGCGUGUGUGUGUGUGUGUGUGUGCAUCCGCCUGCUUUGCGUUCUUCCGAUGCCUCGCUCAUCGGGAGCAGCUUCUGCUGCUGCGUGAAACCGCGACUGAUCAGAGCCGUGGCAACCACCGCGGUGGUCAUUGACGCGCCGACGGCGUUUCGUCUUCGUUGCUGUCCUCUCUCUCUUCACCGUCAACCCUCUCUUUGCGUACCCUUU